This 3610-nucleotide unclassified non-coding RNA is filed under the name Venturia canescens. Its description in RNAcentral is "rING finger protein nhl-1, transcript variant X1". Lineage: Eukaryota; Metazoa; Arthropoda; Insecta; Hymenoptera; Ichneumonidae. The record is from RNAcentral.
GGUAUAGAACGACGUCGGAGCAAGUUAAGAGAAGGAGGAAGAAGAUGAUGACGACGAAGCAGAAGAGCUUUGCUCGAAGGAGAGAGCUUGCCAGAAAUAACUAAUAAGACAUUCACUCUGAGACGGGCGGCCAUCCGGCCCGGACGAAACGCGCUGAAACAGCGCUGGAUUUUGGUGGCCGAAGAGUGCAAUAUCUUGGGGCCCUAUAGAGAGGGCCCCCAACCCGAGAGUUACCGCCGCGAGGCGGGCACACUAGCUAGGGAGCAUGGAGCAAUUCGAGCAAUUGCUGACGUGCGCGAUAUGUCUCGAUCGCUACAGGAAUCCGAAACUUCUACCAUGCCAGCACAGCUUCUGUAUGGAGCCGUGCAUGGACGGCCUUGUCGACUACGUACGUCGACAGGUCAAGUGUCCAGAAUGCCGCGCCGAACAUCGUAUACCCUAUCAGGGCGUACAGGCGUUUCCAACAAACGUAACGUUGCAACGAUUUUUGGAGCUGCACAUCGAAAUAACCGGAGAACUACCGGAUCCGACGAGCGGCCAAACGAUGGAACGUUGCGGCGUGUGUUCGGAAAAAAGUUAUUGCUCGCUAUGUGUGCACUGCGAGAAAAAAUGCUGUCCCGAGUGCAAAGACGCUCAUAUGGACAUACUCAGGCGCGAAAUCGCUCGCAUAAAUUCGCAGAUACGUCGGGGUCUCCAUCGGCUGCAAGAUGCUCUCGCUCUCGUGGAGAAAAACACCCUCGGUUUACAAACGAAUUGUGCUUCGGUCGCUGAGGAAGUUGAUGAGAUCUAUCGAAGAUUGAGCAAAGCACUAAAAGAUCGUACGGAACAUUUGCGUAACGAGAUCGAGCGUUAUUCCGGAAGCGAGAUACGGGGACUUCUCCAACUCAAGGAGAAUCUCGAGCUCGAGAUAGCAAACAUUCAGAGUAAUUGCGACCUCGCUGAUGCUCACAUAAACGAGAAUGUGGCGUGGGACGAUGCGGAACUGCUCGAUACGAAGGAGCUCUUUCUCCGUACGGUCGAAUUCAUCAGAAACUUCGAAUACGAGGCCGGAGACUACGGUCGUCGUGUGCGUUUCGUAAUGGCACACGAACCCAAUCAGCUGGUACUUCACGUCGCGGGGUACGGUGAACUCAACAUCAAGCCCGAAACCGGAAGUGUCGGACACUUAGGAACGACCGGUGGAUUGGCACCACCCAGUGGUUCCCCCGGUCUGAUGAGGAGCAAGAGUGAUCAUCGUCUAGCAUCCCAAUAUCGCCAACAAGAGGAAGAACGUUUGGCCAGAAAUCGAUACGUCCCCGAUUACGAAUACGAUGUACCUGAAUACGAGACACCACGGAACAAAUCGAGAUACCGGAGCCGUUUCAUGCGCCAUCGCGACGGUGAAGAAUCGGACGGUGACACGAGAUCGACGGUGAAGUUUAGCUCCGCACCUGCCGAGAGCGCCCAGCGAGAAAAAGUCCUGGACACGGAAGACGCUGCCCGCGGUCCACUUUCCGGUAUAUUCAGGCUCACCGACUCUCCCAGAGUCAUGAAGAAGCUCCAGGAGUGCGAAAGGGCCGGAAAACGGAAGAAAGAGGAACCUGCGGCUCCCCAGCCACCGGCACCAAAGCCACAGAUCCAAGUGAGAAAGGCGCCAACGGCUACGGCGAAACAACCUACCGAAGACGACGAAAUUUCCAGGAUCAAAAAGCAGAACAAAAGUGCUUCGGUUGCCCAAACUACCGAAACGGUCGAAGAACGUCAGCCCGUUCCAACUACCCCCGUGCACACUCCACCUCCUCCUCGUGAACAAGAACGAGAAAUCGAGGAGUCUCCGAGAAGAACACCUAUAGGAAGGAGAACAUCGGAAGUGCACAAUCCAGCGGCGAGAAGCGCGUCGUCGGAUUCGAGCACCGGCUCCGAGAGCUCUACCGGUUCCGGCAUUCGUAGCACCGGCGCACCCUUCACCGCUGAAGAGAUGAAACAGAAGUACCUUUCAAGAGCACCACCGACUACCACCACGAACACCGUCUCGUCCGGACCGGGAAUCACUACGCCGACGAGUCGCGAUAGCGUUACCACGCCUACCAGCAGCCCCAGACCCUUCCAGAGCCGUUUUUUAGGCGGAGGUAAUCGCGCAGCCCCUCCACCUCCAGUUGCGGCAGUGCGCGAAGAACCAGCAAAGAAAAAGGAGGAGGAAGAAGACGACGACGACGAGGAAACGACGAGUUCGUCCGAGGAAACGGAGUCCGAGACGGAGGAGGAAUCGGAAGCGGAGACUCACGCGUCUACACCAACAACGACAUUGCCAGCGUCGCAGGAGCGUCAGAGAAAUGAAUCGGCAAUGGCGAGGACGGACAUUGGUCCGCUGCUUGCCCGAAGCGCCGAAGCUCGACGUGGAAGCAAAGAGGACUCACCUUCGACCCGAUAUACGUCACCGAGAGGAAGUCCAGCGCACUCGGUAUCAUCGCCAACAAGUACAACAGCAUCAUCAGCGCCAGGCGGCUAUACCAGCAGAUUCCUGAACAAGAGCAGGAGCCAGGCGGCGGUGACGACACCCCGCGAACGUGAUCGGGAGCGCGAACGCGAGCAGCGAGAGAGGGAGCGAGAAAUAGAGCCGGAAGUUGAGCCAAUGUCACCGAGAUCUCGUUACGCCGCUCUCAAGGAAAGACGCCAGAGACUCGCACGUUCAAGAAGCUCUCACAACUUCGGCAACGACGAUCUCGACCUCGACGACGAUCCACCAUCACCGACUACUCAGUCGCCGAAUGCUUAUCUUGCCGCGAAAUACGGAGCUGGAUCUGAAUUGGCACGUAGUCGUAGCACUCACGCCCUUAAAUCGCGCGAACCGAGCCCCGACCGUGAUCGAGGCGGCACGGAAAAAGAUGGCGCUGCCCUCAGCUCCUGGGCUCGUUAUCUCAAAAACAAGUAUGGCAAUCGCACUGUCAAAGACAAAGAACCACCCUCUUCGACAUCCUCGAUACCGUCUUCGAGCGCCAGUGCAGCCUCGAGGCGAUUGUCAUUGGGUCUACCCCUCAGGCACACCGGCCAAACAUCCUUCGAAUCUUCUGAUGACGACCAAAAAAACCCGUCAGGCUCCCCCACGUCCCCUACAGCAGCUCCCGUUAUACCCGCCCCAGCAGGUUCCUCCACUAGGAAUCAGUACCUGCUGAAGCGGAGGCAGCUGUUUAAAUUUGGGAUGCGGGGGAGCGGUGCCGGAUGUUUUACUUGGCCGAGAGGCCUCGCAGUCGGCCCUGACAACUCCAUCGUCGUGGCCGACAGCUCUAAUCAUCGUGUUCAAGUGUUCGACGGGAACGGGAAUUUCAUGAAGGAGUUUGGAACCUACGGAAGCGGUGCUCGAUCCGUCUGGCCGAUUUUUGAGAACGUUCGGCUCACAGGGCACGGCUGAUGGACGAUUCAAUUAUCCAUGGGGUAUCACCACCGAUGCUCUUGGAUUCAUUUACGUCUGCGAUAAAGAGAAUCAUCGCGUGCAGGUUUUCCAGUCGGAUGGGACAUUCGUCGGUAAGUUUGGUUCUUGCGGAAGUGGACGUGGUCAGCUGGAGCAUCCGCAUUACAUAGCGGUGAGCAGUACGAACCGUGUAAUCGUGAGUGACGGAAACAAUCAUCGGGU